This 554-nucleotide ribosomal RNA is filed under the name uncultured bacterium. RNAcentral describes it as "partial 16S ribosomal RNA". It matches the Rfam family "Bacterial small subunit ribosomal RNA", at positions 355 to 902 of the family's 1533-position model. The record is from RNAcentral.
UGGGGAAUUUUGGACAAUGGGCGAAAGCCUGAUCCAGCAAUGCCGCGUGUGUGAAGAAGGCCUUCGGGUUGUAAAGCACUUUUGUCCGGAAAGAAAUCCUUGGCUCUAAUACAGUCGGGGGAUGACGGUACCGGAAGAAUAAGCACCGGCUAACUACGUGCCAGCAGCCGCGGUAAUACGUAGGGUACAAGCGUUAAUCGGAAUUACUGGGCGUAAAGCGUGCGCAGGCGGUUUGCUAAGACCGAUGUGAAAUCCCCGGGCUCAACCUGGGAACUGCAUUGGUGACUGGCAGGCUAGAGUAUGGCAGAGGGGGGUAGAAUUCCACGUGUAGCAGUGAAAUGCGUAGAGAUGUGGAGGAAUACCGAUGGCGAAGGCAGCCCCCUGGGCCAAUACUGACGCUCAUGCACGAAAGCGUGGGGAGCAAACAGGAUUAGAUACCCUGGUAGUCCACGCCCUAAACGAUGUCAACUAGUUGUUGGGGAUUCAUUUCCUUAGUAACGUAGCUAACGCGUGAAGUUGACCGCCUGGGGAGUACGGUCGCAAGAUUAAAACUC